Molecule: long non-coding RNA, 508 nt
Organism: Etheostoma spectabile (orangethroat darter)
Lineage: Eukaryota; Metazoa; Chordata; Actinopteri; Perciformes; Percidae
Exons: 3
Source: RefSeq, a predicted model, not a curated record
AUUAGCCUGAGACAGGUGUGGACAAUUAGAAGCUGAAGUCACGAGAGAGAGACAGUCUACCGUCGGAACGGCAGCCGAUAAUGAUGAUGAGUGGUGCAAUGAACUAGCACCAUCACUCUGACCUUACACCGAAGGUUACUUGCAGCACAGUGAUCAGGCCCGAGGUGAAGAAAAUGGUGUUGAUGAGACAACUCUGGGUCAGGCUGUCGUGCUGCAGACACAGCCCCUCCGAGAGAAUGAGGGGGAUGGAGACGAUACCACCAAAAGCUGUCAGAAUGCUGUGUGGGCUAGCCAGAACCACCUCCACCAUCACUUUGGAAUUCAACCUAGUACACUGCUGUCUCUGGUUAGUUUUCUGGCCUGUUCCUUUAACUGUACACCUACCUAUAAAGAUGUGAUAAAACAUUUUAGGAUGCUACUUUAUAUUACCCCAAUAACGAUGUGGGUUCACCAGCCACAACAACCGAAAAUAUUUACAACACAUCCAUAGAACUUUAAAGUCCUUUUC